AGCCUAUCCAAUUAGGUUUAAAAAUUGCCGAAAAUCAUGUUCACAUUUUACGAAAUAUAGAAAAUAUCUUCCAUUUCUGCACGUCGGAGCCAUUAAAAAUAUGCCUUUUUCAUUAAGCGAAAAAAGUAGACGAUCUUUUUCAACUGCAGUUUAAGUCAAUUUGAGCCGCAUGACCCUAUAUAUUUUUUUGGUUGUAAUGCAACAC
Molecule: long non-coding RNA, 205 nt
Filed under: Mytilus galloprovincialis (Mediterranean mussel)
Lineage: Eukaryota; Metazoa; Mollusca; Bivalvia; Mytilida; Mytilidae
Source: RNAcentral